UUUCCUAGCAAAAGCCAAAACUCACCUCCGACCACCUUUUUUCACCUUGAUCUAUACUGUCACUGCUUCUACUUUCUCUUUUUAGGAUUUUCCUAUCUUUCUCCCUUCCUUAGUCCACUACGUAACUAGAAUUACGUAGAUUUACAAUUUUUGAAUUGAAGGUGAAAAUCCCAGCUCGGAUUAUAAUACUUGUUUGAAUUGGAUUGUUCUUUUUUGAAAUAUUGCUGUUAAUUAUUGUGGCAUUGUUGAAGUGAUUGGUGAAUUGUGGAGAUCUGGUAGUUAGUAAGGUCAAUUUGAGGGAAAUUUAGAGAGAUUGAAGUGGAAAAGGGGUUGUGGAUUCGAUCGGGGGUGUGACAGCGCCAUUAGAUGGCGCUGUUCAGACGCUUCUUCUAUCGGAAGCCCCCGGAUCGGCUUCUUGAGAUCUCCGAGAGGGUCUAUGUUUUUGAUUGCUGCUUCUCCACUGCCGUACUGGAUGAAGAUGAGUACAGAACAUACAUGAAUGGAAUUGUAGCGCAGCUACAGGACCACUACCCUGAUGCUGCCUUUAUGGUUUUCAACUUCAAAGAAGGGGAAAAGAAAAGUCAAAUAUCGGAUGUAUUAUCUCAGUAUGAUAUGACGGUUAUGGAUUACCCUCAGCAAUACGAGGGUUGUCCGCUGUUACCAUUGGAGAUGAUUAACCACUUCUUGCGAUCCAGUGAGAGCUGGUUGUCACUUGAGGGCCAACAGAAUGUGCUUUUGAUGCACUGUGAAAGGGGAGGAUGGGCUGUCCUUGCCUUCAUGCUUGCUGGCCUUCUUCUAUACAGGAAACAGUACAUGGGUGAGCAGAAGACUCUUGAAAUGGUAUACAAGCAAGCUCCUAGAGAACUUCUUUAUCUUCUGUCUUCCUUGAAUCCACUGCCAUCUCAGCUAAGAUAUCUUCAGUACAUUUCCAGAAAAAAAUUUGGGUCAGAUUGGCUUCCAUCAGAUACACCUCUGGCUUUGGACUGUAUAAUGCUUAGAAUUCUUCCUCUAUUUGAUGGUGGAAGAGGAUGCCGACCAGUAGUUCGCGUCUAUGGUCAGGACCCUUCGUCCAGAACAUCCAGUAGAAAUUCAAAGCUUUUGUUUUCAACUUCCAAAAUGAAAAAAAAUACCCGUCUCUAUCAACAGGAAGAGUGUGAGCUAGUGAAACUAGAUAUUCAUCACCUUGUUCAAGGAGAUAUUGUUCUUGAGUGCAUCCAUUUGGAUGAAGAUCUAGUCACAGAGGAAACAAUGUUUAGGGCUAUGUUCCAUACAUCAUUUAUUCGGUCAAAUGUUUUAAUGCUGAAUCGUGAUGAAAUUGAUGUUCCUUGGGAUGCUAAGGACCAAUUUUCAAAGGAAUUCAGAGCAGAGGUACUUUUUUCGGAUGCAGAUUCUUGUCCAUCUAUUAUCACCAUGGAAGCAGUAAGUGAAGAUGGGAAUGAAGCAGAAACUGCUUCACCAGAUGAAUUUUUUGAGGCAGAAGAGAUCUUUAGUAGUGUGGUUGAUGGGCGGGAUGGAAAGGCAGAUUCUAGUACUAGUAUAAUUCAAGCUAGUGCUCAGGAUGAUGACAAUGAACAUGAUCUAGCCUGGAAGGAUGAUUUGGAUCAUCACACAUUUCAAGAUUGUGCAUCGGAUGAGGGGAGUUACAAACACAAUGUUAAGAUGGAUGGAUUUAAAAAUAUGUCAAAAGCAGAUGUUUUGCGCAAUGGGCAUUUCCAGUUAGAUUCUAGUAUAGUCAUCUCAGAAGUAGCAAGUGAUUCAGAAAUCAAAGCUGUAAAAGCUGGUUCACCUGGCAAAUCUGAAGAAGGGGAUAAUAAACAAAGUCAAGAAGUGCCUCCUUCAAUGAAGAGGAUAGAAAAGGAAGCUUCUCAACAAAAGCUAGAUGGUGAUAAUAAUAAGCAGAUAGCCCAAAAGAAACAAUCGACUUCUGGUUCAAAACCUGCUGCAGAUGCAGUUGGUACCAAGAAAUCGAAACAGCAAGAAUCGCAGGGCACACUUCUAAGACAGGCAAAGCCAAAUGCAGUAUCUAGGUGGAUUCCUUCUAAUAAAGGUUCUUACACUAAUUCAAUGCAUGUAUAUUAUCCACCGUCAAGACAUAAUAGUGCUCCAGCUGCACUAACUCCUGGCAAGGAUUCCACACCAGGGGGGAAAUCAAAAUCUGUUACUGCAUCUUCGGAAGCUGUAGUUACAGCAAACAGAACUCAGGCAGCAGGUCAUGGGAAACAUUCAUCUUGUCCAUCAUUAUUAGAUUCGUCACCAGCUCAAGAGCCUUCUUCCUCAACUCUGGCUUCACCACUGAAAGUGAAAUGUAGUGCCCUGGAACAUAAUCCAGCUCCUCCCUCUUCUAGCUCAUUGUUACCUUCUUCGCCACCUACGCCAAUUAUACAGGCAGGAGAGCAUGCCCUGUACCCACCUCAACGACCACCACCCCCACCACCUCCGCCUCCGCCUCCGCCUCCUCCUCCGCCUGUUUCUAAUUUGCCACUCCUACCCCCAUCACCUUUGUUAUCUUCUCAAAGUGCAGAUUUUACAAAAUCACCGCCUCCACCCCCACCCCCACCCUUGCCUUCCAUAACUGCAGGCUUAAGAGCAACUCCACAGGAAACUUAUCACCCCCCUCCUCCUUCUACCCCACAUUCCAACGCUUCUAGCAUGCAGAAUACUAGUAGAGUGUUGCCCACGCCGCCGCCGCCACCUCCUUGGUCUGUUGUUACUUCUAUGCGUCGUCCUUCAGCAGUAAUGAGUUCCCCAUUACCUCCUCCUCCUCCUCCACCACCACCACCACCUCCUUUUCAUCAAGUCCGUUCUUUUCCUUCACAUGACAAACCAUCUCCACCACCUUUUCAACCAGCAGCAUCUCCUUGUGGUGCACCAACACCUCCACCUCCACCUCAACUCAAUAGAGCAUCAACUCCUCCCCCACCUCCAAUGCGUGGGACACCCCCUCCUCCGCCUCCACCUCCACCUCCACCUCCACCUCCGCCUCCUCAUGGAGCUCCCCCUGGAUCACCUGCUCAGCCUUCUUUGCGUGGGGCCCCAUCACAGCCACCACCUCCUACAGUUGUUGGCAUACCGCCCGCUUCACCCAUGCAUAGAGCACCCCCUCCACCACCCCCUCCUGGAGGUCGUGUACCAGGCCCAACUGCACCUCCAGGAGGUGCACCCCCUCCACCACCCCCUCCUGGAGGUCAUGUACCAGGCCCUCCUGCACCUCCAGGUGGUGCACCUCCCCCACCCCCACCACUAGGUUUGAAAGGACCUGGGAGAGGGCCGCCGCCACAGGCUGGGGGAGGACGUGGGCUCUCACGUUUUCCUGGGAUGUCGACUGCAACAGCACCUCGAAGAUCUACCUUAAAGCCACUGCAUUGGAGCAAAGUGACUAGGGCAUUACAAGGAAGCUUGUGGGCAGAACUGCAGAAUCUUGGAGAGCCUCACAUUGCACCAGAAUUUGAUGUGUCAGAACUUGAGACUCUUUUCUCUGCCACAGUCCCAAAAUCCAACAGCACAGGAGGCAAGCCAGGAGAGCGUCGGAAGUCUGUUGGAUCUAAGUCUGACAUAGUCCAUCUGGUUGACCUAAGGAGGGCUAACAACACCGAAAUUAUGCUCACAAAGGUGAAAAUGCCCCUUCCUGACAUGAUGGUAAGAGACAGGCCGCAGCACUUGCAAUGGACGAAUCAAUUUUAGAUGCUGAUCAAGUGGAAAAUCUCAUAAAAUUCUGUCCUACUAAAGAUGAGAUGGAACUUCUAAAGGGAUACACAGGUGACAGGGAGAAAUUGGGGAAGUGUGAACAGGUCUGUGAACUGGAUCAUAAUUUAUGCUAUUUUGUUGAUGACAUUUGUUCUUUUGGGAUAUGAAUGCAUUCAGCGAUUUUACUCAUUGAAGCUAAUCAUUUUUUCAUCUAGUAUUGAUGAUUUUAAUGUAUUUUAACAAUAAGAUGUAGCUGUAAACCUAGAUUGGAGAUCACAUUCCUUCUCCACUAUGAAGGGACAAUAUUGACAUUGGUACAAGAACGGUUCUUUUUAUUGUUUUCUGGAAAUACCUUGAAAGCUGUUGAAACAUUGUUUGGGCCAUUACUUGUUUUUUCAUCUACUCAGAUAAGAAAAUGCUUUAGAUUCUGUAGGUAUGUGCUAGUACUGCAUUGAUAUCUUUAUACUUGUGUAUUCUGUUCUUAAUCUUUGAUUUUUUAUGCUUGAAAAUUCCAUUGCCUGUGCACCAAGGAGGUCAAAAUCCACACAUUUGCAACUAUUCAGCUAUAUACAUUUUAGAUUCCUAUUCAACAAUGAAGAAAGCAUAAUAGAAAUCGAGACUUACAAUACAACAAAAUGAAUUCUAGCAAAUUUCAUUGAAUACAUGAACUAUCUUCUCAAUACCGUGGAGCACUCGUCCAUUUCUUUCUUUUCCAUAGUACCCAAAAUAUGAAGAGAGGUCCUGCAUCCCAAACCCAUUAAAAGCAUUCCAAGACAUGAACCACAGAAAAAUCCAUGAAAUAUAUGUGGUCUCUGAUAAACGGACAAGUGUAACUUGGUUCUAAACAUACUAACACAUUUUUCUCUUUCCCAAUGCACCAAAUUGCAUCAACAUUCCCAUGUGGCCUUGCCUCUUCUCCAGUCAAAAUUCUGAUAUUUGAUUCCAAACAGUAUCCAAAAUAUCAGACACGACAACAAGCAUUCCUCAGAAUAUUUACCAAACUUCUCAUAACAUGGUUUCUUAUCAGGAUUUCAUGUUAUAAAUAUGUUGUUCCAACAUAGGAUAAAAGCUUAUUACCAGGACAUCAGCUGGGAAGCGCGAUAUUAGAAGCUGCAGAAAACUAGCUUUUCUCAUGCAAGUGUGGCCUCAAUUCAAGGUUUAUGCCUAUGGAGUAAUGUCACUUUUCCCACAGCACAUGCUUUUGGACUGUUUGCUGCCAAACAAGUCCUGUUACAUGCCAUGCCAUGAUUUUCCUAUGUUGGCUGAAGCACAGUCCUUUAUUGGAAGUCAUUUUAGGCUCUUGGAUGAAAUGUGAUGUGAUUAUUGAUCACAUAAACUGCUGUUACUUAAGGGAAUAGAGUACUGUUAUUGAAGGGAAUGUGAGAGGAUAUGGGUUCGUCUCUUUUGAUGGAACUGAAAUAGAUUGAAGUUAUGUUGUUUGCCAAUGAAUUUUCUUUCAUUGAAGGCGGUUAAUCUGGUUGAAUAAGAAAUAUCAGUGCUUUUGACUAGAGAAGCAGCUAAUUAAGGUUUAUAUGGAAGUUCAACUAUUGCUGGUUGAAAAUGUUUUUGAGUCUGGUUGACCUAGGCCAUUUCUUGAAGGGAUUAUUUUGUGGAAAACCACAAAAAGAAAGAAUUGGUAAGACAUGGAAAGCUUGUUUCUAACCAUGAGGUUUCCUGCUUAUUGUCAUUCUUUUUAUAGACCUUGCAAUUAUCACAGUUAAUGAUGUUUAUUUAAGAUAACUGGAUGAAUGCUUGGUCGAGAACUUGAAUUUGUGAAGUAAAAGUCACAGUUAAGAGGCUGGAGAGUUUAUUAUAUUACGAGGAGAAAGAGGAAACGGAGGAAAGAGUUGUUCAGUUUAGAAAGAAAUAAAUGUUCCAAAUUGAGGCAAUUGUUUUGCAUUUUUUUCUGGUCAUUGUUGAUAGGCGAGCAUGCACAAGAAUUGCAGUCUUUAAUUCCUUUAUUUGAUCUUUCUAGAUGUUCAUGUGUCUCUUUUGGAGCAAUUCUACAGUAUAUUGACUUGCUUCAAUGGGGUGAAGGAAAUGGUAGAUGAAAGAAAUCAUUUUUUGAACAAAAAAUUAAGGUCAUGUUCUUAUUACUCCAAGGAGAAACUUGGGAGUCUGGCUUAGGAAUCUACUGCAGAUGCUGUUUGGCAUCAAGAUCUAGCUUUGCUCAAGUUAAGUCAGUCUUUAACAUAAUUUACCUUGAAGUAUAUCAAGCCCAAAGUGCACUUUCCAUUUUCAUGCAGAGCAGGUUUCCCUCAACACAGUAGGCUCACGAGUUCCCUUGGUAUUAUUUUGAUUCAAGCAAUCCAGUCAGAUGUUUACUGUAUGUUAGAGAUGUGAAGCAUGGUUUUCCAGGCUGACGUUUAAAAAUUUUUGGUAUUGUUAUUUUGGUCAACAAUGGGAAGUAACUGAUUUUCAAUAACCCUUGACCGUGGUAUGAUUUGCUCGUGAAUCAUACUAUAUGACUGUAGUCAACAAUUAUGUUCCUAGAACUAUGAUAGGGUUGGAGACUAGGUGUUCCAUAAGAAAUUAGGAUUUUUUUUGCUUUUUAGUCUACACUGUUCUGAUGUGGUUUGCUUCUAUCUUAAGAUCAUACUGAACGACACCAAGGUAUGUUACAUAAUACAUACUCUUGCUGUGAGAAAGACUAAAUCGAAAAGACAAGACAUGGGCAUCAACAAAACUGGGAUCAGCCUGAUGAAUGGAUUUUCAGUAGAUUUUUUUUUUUAAGUAGAUUCUAUUCAUGGAUGUUGGUUGAUGUAUUGGCCUCUCCAAAUGCAUAAAAUGAGCUUGAAUUUGAAUAAAACUCUAUAUGUGAACCACCUAAAACAAGCAUUUCUUUGUGCAAAUGAGAUAUAGGUGUAUUUAUUAUCUACUUUCCAGAAAAUUACACAUACCUUACACACAUGUAUUGUGUGUUAAUAUUGUGUAUUAAGUAAUUCCCAAAUAUGUAUUCAUAUUGCCUACCUAACAUUGAGAAAUAUAUCUUUGAGUUUUUGAAGAAGCAUAUUCUAUUUGCUAGAAAUUUCCACUAAAUUUUGUCUGCAGUAACGAGGAUUUCUUGACAGCAAACUUAGGGGGAUGAUCCACAGAUCUUGAUUCUUGCAUUUUGUUUUCCCUUCUUUAAGCGAACAACGUUUUUAUUAUUUUUAACAUUGUUACACGUUCUUACUUCUCCUUCCAUCUUCUAGUUCUUCUUGGAGCUGAUGAAGGUGCCCCGAGUGGAAUCUAAAUUGAGGGUUUUCUUAUUUAAGAUUCAAUUCAACAUUCAGGUUU
Olea europaea var. sylvestris is the source of this 6963-nucleotide RNA transcript. It is a transcript of the gene named formin-like protein 20, with no coding region annotated. The record is from RefSeq and is a predicted model, not a curated record. Lineage: Eukaryota; Viridiplantae; Streptophyta; Magnoliopsida; Lamiales; Oleaceae. The transcript has 8 exons.